GAACAAUUGCUACCCUCCUCCCAUAUCGCCACUAUCAUCCUUUCCUAUAUUUAAUUUUCUUUUGUAUUAUACCUAUAAUAAUAAUAAAGUCCUGCCCCGUUUUAAGUGUUGUAACUCCCGAUCACCGCUAACCUUUCCGAUUGAUCUGAAACCCAUAACUCAUGUCAGGGCUCUGCCCGACUAAGUUCGUUGAGAUUCUAUCUCGGGACAAUGUUGAAUUAGGGGUACUAUACUUAACACGAGUGCAUUAUAUUUUUAUAGCUUAGAAAUUAAACCCAAAAUUUAUACCAGGAGAUUUUCUAGUUGAACCCUAAAGUACAAAGUGGGUCCAUUCUCUUUUCUCACUAUUUUAUUCCCUUUUUCUUUAUAAUAUAAUUAUACUCAAAAAGAUCCCAAAUUGAUCCGUUAGUAAAAACCCGGACCCCUGAAACCCCAAAUCAUAUCAACAAUCAAGAAAUCAAGAAUUCUUGUCUUCAGGCGGGCCGCGUAAAAAUAAGCCGAGGCUUACGCGGGCCGCGCUAGCAAGGCGGAUUUCCGGAUAAGCUUGAGGGACACGUGGCAUCCACCUGGCAGACCUAGUGGUGACUCAGCAACCCUACGCGUAGACUAGGCGGCUACGAGGGCCGCGUAAGAAUCGAGCCAAGGCUCACGCGGGCCGCGUGAGACCCAAUUUUCAGCUAUAAAUAGGACAGGCCACGAGCUUUCAGUUGAUGUCGAAACCAAAACUCGAAAAUAUAUUCCCACUGCUCAAAAUCACAAAUUAGCAUAACGGGGCGCUGCUACGAUACCGGGUAUUAACUCGAUCGCUGCUACGAUUCAAUGUCCGAUCGAUUGAAACUAUCCGACAUGAUGUUUAAGUGCUACUCAAAUUGGGUUAUCCUUUGUCAUUAGUCGUGAUUCUGACAGGAUGUUUGAGUACCACCCGAACUCGGGGAAUACUCUGUCAUUCGUUGUGAAUCCGAUGGAUGUUUAAGUGAUUGCACUUUGUCAUUUGUCGUGAGGGUUUUAAUCUCGUGAGUUUAUCGUAAAUGUUGUAUUAGUUACUUACCUAGUUUCGUAUGCAUUAUUAUUUAAAUUAGGUUAUCAGGCUUAUCCGUAGGCUAAACUUCACCCAUAUACUUACAACCAAAGUAGAUACUAAUUCUCAGAAGAAUCUGAAUCAUGAAGCUUGUUAAUUACUGUAUGCUUAUAAUGUAAUUACAGUAGAUUGGAGUAAGAAAUGGAUACGGCACUGAAAGACUUCAAGAAGUGGCUUAUUUUAUUUAAAUCAAAUUAAGAAAUAUUGUUUUAUGUAAUUGGGUUUAUCCCUUAUUAAAGCUACCUUUAUAAAACAGGGGUUUAUCCCAUCUAUUUAAUAAAUAAAAUCCGGUGUUU
RNAcentral lists this long non-coding RNA (1374 nucleotides) under Helianthus annuus (common sunflower). Its description in RNAcentral is "hypothetical non coding rna". The record is from RNAcentral. Lineage: Eukaryota; Viridiplantae; Streptophyta; Magnoliopsida; Asterales; Asteraceae.